RNAcentral lists this long non-coding RNA (519 nucleotides) under Marmota monax (woodchuck). The record is from RNAcentral. Lineage: Eukaryota; Metazoa; Chordata; Mammalia; Rodentia; Sciuridae.
AUUUUGACAUACAUACAUGGAGUAUUACUUAUUCUAAUUAGGAUCCCAUUGUUGUGGUUGUACAUGAUGUGGAGUUUCACUGGUUGUGUAUUCCCAUAUGAACAUAGGAAACUUAUGUCUGAUUCAUUCUCCUGUCUUUCUUAAUCCCAUACCCCCUCCCUUCCCUUCAUUUUCCUUUGUCUAAUCCAUCCCCCACCAGAAAGGGCUGUAAUGGUAGAAAUUUCAGAUACCUUAGUCAGCUAACAGUUGAAGUUUAGCUUUGUUUUAUUUUGUUGGCACUGGAGAUUGAAACGGGGUGCUGAGUCAUAUCUUCAGCCCAGUACCCAGGUUUAUGCUAUAGGCUAGGAAAUAUGAGAGGGAGAUGGUAUGCAUAGAGGAAGUGUUUUGAGUUUAUAGGCUUCUUCCACUUUGAACAUAUGGUACUUUCCUGCUCAAAAUGUUUUGGAGUUGCUUUUGAGAUAAGUCUAGGACAUCAAUUGAGAAGUUAGGUAUGAGGAGCCCAGAAUUAGACAGAUUUAU